ACACUUACCUGGCAGGGGAGACACUAUGAACACGAAGGUGGUCACCCAGGGUGAGGCCCAGCCAUCACACUGCGGCUGUGCUGACCCCUGCCAAUCCCACAAAUGUGGGAAUCUCCACUGCAUAAUUUCUGGUAGUGGGGGGCUGCGUUCACGCUUUCCCCUG
Brienomyrus brachyistius is the source of this 163-nucleotide small nuclear RNA. RefSeq annotates it as U1 spliceosomal RNA. NCBI's taxonomy places the organism in Eukaryota, Metazoa, Chordata, Actinopteri, Osteoglossiformes, Mormyridae. The record is from RefSeq and is a predicted model, not a curated record. The transcript has a single exon.